This is a long non-coding RNA of Tupaia belangeri chinensis (Chinese tree shrew), 816 nucleotides long. RefSeq lists it as uncharacterized. The record is from RefSeq and is a predicted model, not a curated record. The transcript has 4 exons. Lineage: Eukaryota; Metazoa; Chordata; Mammalia; Scandentia; Tupaiidae.
CCAGACCUGGAGAGCAGAGGGAGAGUCAUGCACCGCGCGGGGAAAGCAGCCGAAACCGGCCUGUGCCGGAGGGAAGGACCCAGGGCCGGUUCAGACACUUCAGUCAAGCUCAUACCACAGAGAAGGUAAAAGAGAUAGUGCUAACUCUUGGAACGCAGCUGGAGUGAGGCUUGCCUCUUUUCUCUAGCCAUGUUGAUCCUGUGAAGCAGCCUCCUGGCCUAUACUGUGGUCUCCUGAGAGGACUUGUCUUUGCAGAUGAUUAGUCUGAUUCCUGUGCCAAGCCCACCUUCCGUUGUAAAGUACAGACUGUGCAUCAUCUCAAAGCUGGCGUUGCACUUUAUAACCACUUCCUUGUGGAAUCUGAUGCUGUGGACCAGACAUCCAGAGUCCAAUAAACCCUCUAAAAAGAGGUAAAAUGGAGUUUCUGAACUGUAAGGCUGACCACCAGACACCCUUUGAACCAAGUAUGUUGUACCAUCACUGGGUGGAGUAGGAAGGAGUAGGAAGGAGGUUUCAGGCCUCCAUUUGUGAAGGGAGGCCUGGAACCUCAAGCUUGUAUGGCUUACAAGCUUGUAUGGCUCACAGCAUCAUCAGGCCCAAGCCAUAGAACACUGUACAGUCUUCUGUGGUCUGGUACCAGAAAGAACACCCUAGAUCCUCAAAGACUACCUGGCCCAAGAAAUCCUCGAGACCUUUUGAGGGAAGAGAAGCAGAAUUGUCUCUGAGCCCCUAAGACCUAUAUAACUUGUGUUGGCUCUGCCCCUUGGCACACCCCUCCACUUCAGGGACAUGUUCUGCCUGGCUGUACCAUCACUG